AUCAAGCUGAUGAGUCGCAAAUAGGAUGAAACGCUCGUCCUGGAU
RNAcentral lists this non-coding RNA (45 nucleotides) under Schistosoma mansoni. Lineage: Eukaryota; Metazoa; Platyhelminthes; Trematoda; Strigeidida; Schistosomatidae. The record is from RNAcentral.